RNAcentral lists this ribosomal RNA (528 nucleotides) under uncultured Actinomycetes bacterium. RNAcentral's name for it is "bacterial SSU rRNA". It matches the Rfam family "Bacterial small subunit ribosomal RNA", at positions 8 to 522 of the family's 1533-position model. Lineage: Bacteria; Bacillati; Actinomycetota; Actinomycetes. The record is from RNAcentral.
AGAGUUUGAUCCUGGCUCAGGACGAACGCUGGCGGCGCGCUUAACACAUGCAAGUCGAGCGAGGAACCAGUCCUUCAGGGCUGGGGACAGCGGCGAACGGGUGAGUAACACGUGGGUAAUCUGCCCUCGGCACCGGAAUAGCCCGGGGAAACCCGGAUUAAUGCCGGAUGGCCUCUCUGCCCUACGGGGCGGCGAGAAAAGGUAGCUUUGGCCUCCGGCCGAGGAUGAGCCCGCGGCCGAUUAGCUUGUUGGUGAGGUAACGGCUCACCAAGGCGACGAUCGGUAGCUGGUCUGAGAGGACGAUCAGCCACACUGGGACUGAGACACGGCCCAGACUCCUACGGGAGGCAGCAGUGGGGAAUCUUGCGCAAUGGGCGAAAGCCUGACGCAGCGACGCCGCGUGCGGGAAGAAGGCCUUCGGGUUGUAAACCGCUUUCAGGAGGGACGAAGCCACUCAGGUUAAUAGCCGAGAGGGUGACGGUACCUCCAGAAGAAGCCCCGGCUAACUACGUGCCAGCAGCCGCGGUA